This 272-nucleotide ribosomal RNA is filed under the name uncultured bacterium. Its description in RNAcentral is "partial 16S ribosomal RNA". It matches the Rfam family "Bacterial small subunit ribosomal RNA", at positions 88 to 354 of the family's 1533-position model. The record is from RNAcentral.
CCGGCGACCGGCGCACGGGUGAGUAACACGUAUGCGACCUGCCCCCCGCGAGGGGGAUAACCGGGAGAAAUCCCGACUAAUACCGCGUAACGCCGCGGACCUGCAUGGGUCUGCGGCCAAAGGAAGCGAUUCCGGGCGGGGGAUGGGCAUGCGGCGCAUUAGCUAGUCGGCGGGGUAACGGCCCACCGAGGCGACGAUGCGUAGGGGUUCUGAGAGGAAGGUCCCCCACACUGGUACUGAGACACGGACCAGACUCCUACGGAAGGCAGCAG